RNAcentral lists this ribosomal RNA (1035 nucleotides) under Bacillus sp. (in: firmicutes). RNAcentral describes it as "bacterial SSU rRNA". It matches the Rfam family "Bacterial small subunit ribosomal RNA", at positions 51 to 1068 of the family's 1533-position model. RNAcentral also lists the same sequence under 1 other name. Lineage: Bacteria; Bacillati; Bacillota; Bacilli; Caryophanales; Bacillaceae. The record is from RNAcentral.
AUACAUGCAAGUCGAGCGGACAGAAGGGAGCUUGCUCCCGGAUGUUAGCGGCGGACGGGUGAGUAACACGUGGGUAACCUGCCUGUAAGACUGGGAUAACUCCGGGAAACCGGAGCUAAUACCGGAUAGUUCCUUGAACCGCAUGGUUCAAGGAUGAAAGACGGUUUCGGCUGUCACUUACAGAUGGACCCGCGGCGCAUUAGCUAGUUGGUGAGGUAACGGCUCACCAAGGCGACGAUGCGUAGCCGACCUGAGAGGGUGAUCGGCCACACUGGGACUGAGACACGGCCCAGACUCCUACGGGAGGCAGCAGUAGGGAAUCUUCCGCAAUGGACGAAAGUCUGACGGAGCAACGCCGCGUGAGUGAUGAAGGUUUUCGGAUCGUAAAGCUCUGUUGUUAGGGAAGAACAAGUGCAAGAGUAACUGCUUGCACCUUGACGGUACCUAACCAGAAAGCCACGGCUAACUACGUGCCAGCAGCCGCGGUAAUACGUAGGUGGCAAGCGUUGUCCGGAAUUAUUGGGCGUAAAGGGCUCGCAGGCGGUUUCUUAAGUCUGAUGUGAAAGCCCCCGGCUCAACCGGGGAGGGUCAUUGGAAACUGGGAAACUUGAGUGCAGAAGAGGAGAGUGGAAUUCCACGUGUAGCGGUGAAAUGCGUAGAGAUGUGGAGGAACACCAGUGGCGAAGGCGACUCUCUGGUCUGUAACUGACGCUGAGGAGCGAAAGCGUGGGGAGCGAACAGGAUUAGAUACCCUGGUAGUCCACGCCGUAAACGAUGAGUGCUAAGUGUUAGGGGGUUUCCGCCCCUUAGUGCUGCAGCUAACGCAUUAAGCACUCCGCCUGGGGAGUACGGUCGCAAGACUGAAACUCAAAGGAAUUGACGGGGGCCCGCACAAGCGGUGGGAGCAUGUGGUUUAAUUCGAAGCAACGCGAAGAACCUUACCAGGUCUUGACAUCCUCUGACAACCCUAGAGAUAGGGCUUUCCCUUCGGGGACAGAGUGACAGUGGUGCAUGGUUGUCGUCAGCUCGUGUCGU